UACGGAGGGAGCUAGCGUUGUUCGGAAUUACUGGGCGUAAAGCGCACGUAGGCGGCUUUGUAAGUUAGAGGUGAAAGCCCGGGGCUCAACUCCGGAACUGCCUUUAAGACUGCAUCGCUUGAAUCCAGGAGAGGUGAGUGGAAUUCCGAGUGUAGAGGUGAAAUUCGUAGAUAUUCGGAAGAACACCAGUGGCGAAGGCGGCUCACUGGACUGGUAUUGACGCUGAGGUGCAAAAGCGUGGGGAGCAAACAGG
This 253-nucleotide ribosomal RNA is filed under the name uncultured bacterium. RNAcentral's name for it is "partial 16S ribosomal RNA". It matches the Rfam family "Bacterial small subunit ribosomal RNA", at positions 524 to 776 of the family's 1533-position model. The record is from RNAcentral.